UACGGAGGGUGCAAGCGUUGUCCGGAUUUAUUGGGUUUAAAGGGUGCGUAGGCGGCUAUUUAAGUCAGUGGUGAAAUCCUGCAGCUUAACUGUAGAACAGCCAUUGAUACUGGAUAGCUUGAGUACAGACGAGGUAGGCGGAAUUUAUGGUGUAGCGGUGAAAUGCAUAGAUACCAUAAAGAACCCCUAUUGCGAAGGCAGCUUACUAGGCUGUAACUGACGCUGGGGCACGAAAGCGUGGGGAUCAAACAGG
Molecule: ribosomal RNA, 253 nt
Filed under: uncultured bacterium
Lineage: Bacteria
Description: partial 16S ribosomal RNA
Rfam family: Bacterial small subunit ribosomal RNA
Source: RNAcentral